This 253-nucleotide ribosomal RNA is filed under the name uncultured bacterium. RNAcentral's name for it is "partial 16S ribosomal RNA". It matches the Rfam family "Bacterial small subunit ribosomal RNA", at positions 524 to 776 of the family's 1533-position model. The record is from RNAcentral.
GACGAACCGUGCGAACGUUGUUCGGAAUCACUGGGCUUAAAGGGCGCGUAGGCGGGCUGCCAAGUCUGGGGUGAAAUCCCACGGCUCAACCGUGGAACUGCCUCGGAUACUGGCGGUCUCGAGGGUGGUAGGGGUAUGCGGAACUAUCGGUGGAGCGGUGAAAUGCGUUGAUAUCGAUAGGAACUCCGGUGGCGAAGGCGGCAUACUGGACCACUUCUGACGCUGAGGCGCGAAAGCCAGGGGAGCAAACGGG